AGAGUUUGAUCCUGGCUCAGGAUGAACGCUAGCUACAGGCUUAACACAUGCAAGUCGAGGGGAAACGAUAUUGGAAGCUUGCUUCCGAUAGGCGUCGACCGGCGCACGGGUGAGUAACGCGUAUCCAACCUGCCCAUCACUUGGGGAUAACCUUGCGAAAGUAAGACUAAUACCCAAUGACGUCUCUAGAAGACAUCUGAAGGAGAUUAAAGAUUUAUCGGUGAUGGAUGGGGAUGCGCCUGAUUAGCUUGUUGGCGGGGUAACGGCCCACCAAGGCAACGAUCAGUAGGGGUUCUGAGAGGAAGGUCCCCCACAUUGGAACUGAGACACGGUCCAAACUCCUACGGGAGGCAGCAGUGAGGAAUAUUGGUCAAUGGGCGAGAGCCUGAACCAGCCGAGUAGCGUGCAGGAAGACGGCCCUAUGGGUUGUAAACUGCUUUUAUAAGGGAAUAAAGUUAGUCUCGUGAGACUUUUUGCAUGUACCUUAUGAAUAAGGACCGGCUAAUUCCGUGCCAGCAGCCGCGGUAAUACGGAAGGUCCGGGCGUUAUCCGGAUUUAUUGGGUUUAAAGGGAGCGUAGGCCGGAGAUUAAGCGUGUUGUGAAAUGUAGACGCUCAACGUCUGCACUGCAGCGCGAACUGGUUUCCUUGAGUACGCACAAAGUGGGCGGAAUUCGUGGUGUAGCGGUGAAAUGCUUAGAUAUCACGAAGAACUCCGAUUGCGAAGGCAGCUCACUGGAGCGCAACUGACGCUGAGGCUCGAAAGUGUGGGUAGCAAACAGGAUUAGAUACCCUGGUAGUCCACACCGUAAACGAUGAUUACUAGGUGUUGGAGGAUUGACCCCUUCAGUGCCGCAGUUAACACAAUAAGUAAUCCACCUGGGGAGUACGACCGCAAGGUUGAAACUCAAAGGAAUUGACGGGGGCCCGCACAAGCAGUGGAGUAUGUGGUUUAAUUCGACGCAACGCGAAGAACCUUACCAAGUCUUGACAUCCUGUGACAGACGUAGAAAUACGUUCUUCCUUCGGGACACAGAGACAGGUGGUGCAUGGUUGUCGUCAGCUCGUGUCGUGAGAUGUUGGGUUAAGUCCCGCAACGAGCGCAACCCUUAUGGUCAGUUACUACGCAAGAGGACUCUGGCCAGACUGCCGUUGACAAAACGGAGGAAGGUGGGGAUGACGUCAAAUCAUCAUGCCCUUUAUGACUUGGGCUACACACGUACUACAAUGGCGUUAAACAAAGAGAAGCAAGACCGCGAGGUGGAGCAAAACUCAGAAACAACGUCCCAGUUCGGACCGCAGGCUGCAACUCGCCUGCACGAAGUCGGAAUUGCUAGUAAUCGUGGAUCAGCAUGCCACGGUGAAUACGUUCCCGGGCCUUGUACACACCGCCCGUCACACCAUGAGAGCCGGGGGGACCCGAAGUCGGUAGUCUAACCGCAAGGAGGACGCCGCCGAAGGUAAAACUGGUGAUUGGGGUGAAGUCGUAACAAGGUA
Molecule: ribosomal RNA, 1495 nt
Filed under: metagenome
Description: bacterial SSU rRNA
Rfam family: Bacterial small subunit ribosomal RNA
Source: RNAcentral